GAUGAACGCUAGCGGCAGGCCUAACACAUGCAAGUCGAGGGGUAACAUAGAAAAGCUUGCUUUUCUGAUGAGACCGGCGCACGGGUGCGUAACGCGUAUACAACCUACCUUUUAGCGGGGAAUAGCCCAGGGAAACUUGGAUUAAUGCCCCAUAGUAUAUGGACUUCUCCUGAAGUUUAUAUUAAACAUUUAUGGCUAUUAGAUGGGUAUGCGUCCUAUUAGUUAGUUGGUAAGGUAACGGCUUACCAAGGCAGCGAUAGGUAGGGGUCCUGAGAGGGAGAUCCCCACACUGGUACUGAGACACGGACCAGACUCCUACGGGAGGCAGCAGUGAGGAAUAUUGGACAAUGGGCGAGAGCCUGAUCCAGCCAUGCCGCGUGCAGGAAGACUCGCCCUAGUGGGUUAGUAAACUGUCUUUUACAGAGGAAGAACCCACCCCACGUGUGGGGGUUUGACGGUACUCUGCGAAUAAGGAUCGGCUAACUCCGUG
RNAcentral lists this ribosomal RNA (490 nucleotides) under uncultured bacterium. RNAcentral's name for it is "bacterial SSU rRNA". It matches the Rfam family "Bacterial small subunit ribosomal RNA", at positions 28 to 507 of the family's 1533-position model. The record is from RNAcentral.